GCCCCUCCCGAGGCUCCACUCCCGAGGGUGUUGGCUAAUCCGCUCGCUGGGUGGAAAAUCUGGUCCUGUCCCCGGCGAAGACGGGCCACCGCCGCCUUGCCAUCUCCUGCAGCCGCGAAGGGGUUCUGCUUCUACGCGGCCUUGCAGUGAGUAAGCAUCCGUCACCAGGAAACCUUCCGAAAGGGAAAGGAUAUGCUGCCGUUCCAAUUCUUCACUGUCAGGAGAAACAGCAGCGAUGGAGCUCAGAAUGUAGUCGUUUUAUGGCAGAGAGAUUUUUAGGAUGCGUUUUUAUUUUUUGACGCGGCCCAGGCAUUUCUUUCGGGACAUCAGUGGAAUCUGAUGAUUGUGCCCAGCAAGAGUCUUGAUCCGAGAGGGAUCCCGAUCCUGUACGGCCAUCUCCUUGGCUGUUGCCUGCACAGUGUGCUAAAAAGGAAGGUUCACUAACAAUAAAACUGUCUUCUUGUUUGAAUUCUGACCACAUCAGUCUACACAUCUACCACAGUCUACCAUAUCAGUUUUGUACAUCUCUCAGAGUAGAGAAAUCUGAUUGUCAUAGACUUCCACUUGCACUGACUUCACAUAAGAGACUUUGGUGUUGGCUCCUCUGUGCUCAUUUGUUGUGGACACAUCGAAGUAUGGAAGCUUCUCAGAGACAUUGCACACUUUGGAGAGGGUGUAAGUGCAAUUUCCCAUGAAAUUAUGGACUCUGUGGUCAAAAGUGUUAUAAUGUGGAUCUCCAGAGGCGCUGCAGGAAGCACGGUCUGUGAAGACAAAAAGACAGACUAAUUCCCUCCGAAUCUUCAUCAGAUUUUUGCAGUUGCUUGGUUUCCACUUUGUUUUACUUUGUGUUUGCUGCUCUGAUAUAAUAUUGACAGCAACAGCACUCCAAAGGCCAACCCAGUCUUCUAUCUCUGGACCCAUAAAAAAACCUGUACUUGUGUAUCAGAAAUCUAUGCUAGAGGUUGAGGAACAAAUGUGAGCAAAAGGCUUUGAUAUGAAAGAAAAAAAGGCACUGCUGUUAAGACAUCAUUAUACAAACUGUAGCAGUGAGUUUUUAGUGUCGAUAUCUGAAAGGCUAUUUCUGACUAAAUAGGAAGAAUUUCCAUAACAUCUUUACAGUGUUGGUUAGCCAGAAUAGCUGCACUACCAGCUGUCUGGAUUUCUGUACUCACAUCAUUUAUGGAACUUAUAUUGAACAUUGCAUACACAAGAUAUCUUUUACACAUUUUUAAAAAAUAUCAAAGUUAACUAGCCAGUGAUAAUACGUACAAAUGGAAGUACACUGUGCAUUCAUUGAAGUGUGUAAUGCGGAGAAGAUUUUGAAUGUUAAUAAGAAAUUCCUGUUUUGAAGAAAAAAAAUUCCCAUCAACUCUUAACAGAGUUGAGAUUGAAGGUUCUUCAUGGUGCUUCCCAAUAAUAAAAAAAGAUAAAGAAAGAGAUCCUUUCCUCUUUCUUUUUCAAUGGCAUGUUAAAAUGUAGCUACACGUACGGUUGUUGUCUACAUGUGAAGCUUAACUCCUUACACAGAAAGUAUUAAUGCUCCCAGAAUGGCAUACUUAACAGUUACCAAAAAAAAAGCAGAAGAAAUCUAAACUGAUUACGUGAGCUAGGACUCUCUUGUAUUUAACAAGUUGACAUAUGCAGAUAUAAGUGCUUAAAAUUGGAGGAAAGAAACAAUUAAAAUUUAUCAAAGGGUAUUUUAGUAUAUAUCCUAAAUAUUAAACUAACAGUAAUUGCUCUGAAUCAGACUUUGACAGGAAAAUACAAUUGACUUAUAUCACACCCCAAAAAUAAAAUUUGGAAACUAAAUUAAAUUUCAAAAUAUACAAAAAAUAACGUCUGUAUAAUAGGUGAAAACUUACCAUAGGAAAGAGUAAUCUAAAUAUUUAUGGACAUGGAAAUAAAGACUAUGUGAGAUAA
This is a long non-coding RNA of Pseudopipra pipra, 1920 nucleotides long. RefSeq lists it as uncharacterized. The record is from RefSeq and is a predicted model, not a curated record. The transcript has 3 exons. NCBI's taxonomy places the organism in Eukaryota, Metazoa, Chordata, Aves, Passeriformes, Pipridae.